GAUGAACGCUGGCGGCGUGCCUAAUACAUGCAAGUCGAGCGAACAGACGAGGAGCUUGCUCCUCUGACGUUAGCGGCGGACGGGUGAGUAACACGUGGAUAACCUACCUAUAAGACUGGGAUAACUUCGGGAAACCGGAGCUAAUACCGGAUAAUAUAUUGAACCGCAUGGUUCAAUAGUGAAAGACGGUUUUGCUGUCACUUAUAGAUGGAUCCGCGCCGCAUUAGCUAGUUGGUAAGGUAACGGCUUACCAAGGCAACGAUGCGUAGCCGACCUGAGAGGGUGAUCGGCCACCCUGGAACUGAGCCACGGUCCCGACUCCUACGGGAGGCAGCAGUCGGGACUCUUCCGCAAUGGGCGAAAGCCUGACGGUGCAACGCCGCGUGAGUGCUGAAGGUCUUCGGAUCGUAAAGCUCUGUUAUUAGGGAAGAACAAAUGUGUAAGUAACUAUGCACGUAUUGACGGUACCUAAUCAGAAAGCCCCGGCUAACUACGUG
This 497-nucleotide ribosomal RNA is filed under the name uncultured bacterium. RNAcentral's name for it is "partial 16S ribosomal RNA". It matches the Rfam family "Bacterial small subunit ribosomal RNA", at positions 28 to 507 of the family's 1533-position model. The record is from RNAcentral.